RNAcentral lists this ribosomal RNA (253 nucleotides) under uncultured bacterium. RNAcentral describes it as "partial 16S ribosomal RNA". It matches the Rfam family "Bacterial small subunit ribosomal RNA", at positions 524 to 776 of the family's 1533-position model. The record is from RNAcentral.
UACGGAGGGGGCUAGCGUUGUUCGGAAUUACUGGGCGUAAAGCGCGCGUAGGCGGCUUUGUAAGUUAGAUGUGAAAGCCCCGGGCUUAACCCGGGAAGUGCAUUUAAAACUACAAAACUUGAGUAUGGAAGAGGGUCGUGGAAUUCCUGGUGUAGUGGUGAAAUACGUAGAUAUCAGGAGGAACACCGGCGGCGAAGGCGGCGACCUGGUCCUAUACUGACACUCAUACACGAAAGCGUGGGGAUCAAACAGG